RNAcentral lists this ribosomal RNA (484 nucleotides) under uncultured bacterium. Its description in RNAcentral is "partial 16S ribosomal RNA". It matches the Rfam family "Bacterial small subunit ribosomal RNA", at positions 30 to 507 of the family's 1533-position model. The record is from RNAcentral.
AUUGAACGCUGGCGGCAGGCCUAACACAUGCAAGUCGAGCGGAUGAAGGGAGCUUGUUCCUGGAUUCAGUGGCGGACGGGCGAGUAAUGCAUAGGAAUCUGACCGGUCGUGGGGGCUAACGUACGGCAACGGGAGCUAAUAUCGUACACGUUCUGAGGGAGAAAGUGGGGGAUCUUCGGACAUCACGCUAUCAGAUGUGCCUAGGUCGGAUUAGCUAGUUGGUGGGGUAAAGGCCUACCAAGGCGACGAUCCGUAACUGGUCUGAGAGGAUGAUCAGUCACACUGGAACUGAGACACGGUCCAGACUCCUACGGGAGGCAGCAGUGGGGAAUAUUGAACAAUGGGCGAAAGCCUGAUCCAGCCAUGCCGCGUGUGUGAAGAAGGUCUUCGGAUUGUAAAGCACUUUAAGUUGGGAGGAAGGGCAGUAAGUUAAUACCUUGCUGUUUUGACGGUACCAACAGAAUAAGCACCGGCUAACUUCGUG